RNAcentral lists this ribosomal RNA (252 nucleotides) under uncultured bacterium. Its description in RNAcentral is "partial 16S ribosomal RNA". It matches the Rfam family "Bacterial small subunit ribosomal RNA", at positions 525 to 776 of the family's 1533-position model. The record is from RNAcentral.
ACGGAGGGUGCAAACGUUGUUCGGAAUCACUGGGCAUAAAGGGCUCGUAGGCGGUUCAUUAAGUCAGAUGUGAAAUCCCUCGGCUCAACCGGGGAACUGCAUUUGAUACUGGUGAACUAGAGUAUGGUUGGGGUGAGCGGAACUCCUGGUGGAGCGGUGAAAUGCGUAGAUAUCAGGAGGAACACCGGUGGCGAAAGCGGCUCACUGGACCAUUACUGACGCUGAGGAGCGAAAGCUAGGGGAGCGAACGGG